This is a non-coding RNA of Paralichthys olivaceus (Japanese flounder), 1308 nucleotides long. The record is from RefSeq and is a predicted model, not a curated record. NCBI's taxonomy places the organism in Eukaryota, Metazoa, Chordata, Actinopteri, Pleuronectiformes, Paralichthyidae.
UGAUGGACAACGGACUGGGAACAUCCAACUACUUUUCCUUCAACUUGUUUGAGUUCUCUGGGAAGAGCAGUGACRUCUACCUGCACUGUAAAGUGAAGCUGUGUGUGAAGAAGGGCAACACCUGCACCCAGAGCUGCGGAGAUAAGAGAAGACGCAGAUCUACCAGGGCUAGAUAUGAAGACGGUAACCCAGCCUUCAUCUCCAUGGCCUGGACUAAAUAGGUUGUUUCCAUGGCGACUCGGACUGACUGAAAGGCUGUCGACCUCCUGACUGACUCCAGACUCCUGAUCAAGAGCCUGGAUGUCUGAAUCCCUUCGGUUUUAGAUUCAACGUCUCCUGAAAAGAUCAGCUCAGUUUUGUUUGCUGUGACACCAUCCAUACUAACAAACAGUUGUGCAUGGACAGAUUCAGUCCGCUGUAGUUUGUGAGGUUGAUUGAGUCGAGCUAGGAGCAGCAAACGACCUGAUGAAACAACAGGUAACAUGAAGUGUCAGAACGUGUAGCUUCAUCAGAACAUUYAUAAUAAGCUGAGCUGAUCUUUGACGGAGCGUCUCUCAGCUCCAUGCGUUGCUGUAGCUUCCUCAGUCAUUUACACUUGACACGGAGCAGACGGCCAGCACCAUCACAACAGAGUUUGUGCGAAUGAGGCUCAGUGCUCAUGUUUGAUAACACACAUCAGUGCCCAGACUGGGGAAAAGCCACAGUACACCUCCAUCAUUCAGCCCCUCCAGGAUCUCACACACUCUUCUGACAUUAUUGAGGCUCAAAACAUGAGCCAUUUUUCUGCAGUAAAACAUUCUCAAAGAAACUGAGUGCUGACAGAUGAUGAAUGAACUCCUGGAGAGACUGACUUAAAACAUAUUUUAACACGGUGAGGGGAAAUGUAUUAUAACCAAUUUAUUUUCAUCUAUCUUACAUGUACACUCCUAGAACACAACCAUUAAUAUCACAAUAUUUGGAUAGAGGACUGUUAACAGUGUUAAAUGAACACUGGGUCAUCUGGGUGCAAAUGAACCUAAAAUAAAUACACUACAAGUUUCAGCAAUGUAUGAAAAGUAUAAGUGGUAAAAGUACUUCAUAUAGUUAGAGUAUGCAAGUAGCAGUACAUAAUGUAGUUACAGUGACACAGUCAGAGUACUUCCACAGUACACUCAUUGUGUAGUAAAGUGUCCUGCGACUGAUCUCUGAUCAGAUCAUUGAUCCUGAGUUGUCAACACUUCAACAUGUUGCUGAUGUAGUUGCCUUAAACUACUUUACAUAAACUGGGAUAGUUCAGUCCACUGGUUCCCAUCUUAAAGGUCCAGUGUA